CUACCAGCUGAUUCCUUUCUAGCAAUGUAAUGCUUCACCGUCAGCUGACUGACACAAGAAGCAAAAGAGAGAUAUUAACACUCUUAGCUGAAACCAGGACACAAUUCUAGCUUCGUAAGUUUCCCCUCAAGUGCUGGUAAGCCAUGAUGAGGUCUCUCCAGAGCUUCCUCUUCUCCAGAGUAAAGAAGACCAACUUCCUCAUCCUUCCUGAUCACCAUCAUCACAGCUCUCUUCUGGACCCACUCCAACAACUCCAUAUACUUUUUGUUCUGAGGACCCCAAGACCCGGACACAGUACUCCAGAUGCAAUCUUACGAUGCCAGAGUAGACAGAGACAAUCACCUCCCUUGUCCUGCUGGAUGCCUCUCUUUUGAUGUAGUCCAGGAAACUGCAGGCCUUCCAGGCUGCAUGUGCCCACAGCUGGCUUAUGUUCAGCUUUUCAUUGGCCAGGGUCCUCAAUCCUUCUCCACAGGACUGCAGUGAAUUAGUUCUUCUCUCAGUCUGUACACAUAUCUGGGAUUGCCCUGCAAGACACCGUACAAAAAUUCCUUUUGUCUCAAAGAUUGCUGUGGAGUGCAAGGACAACUGGAGGCAUCUCUGCCUACACAGGGUUGUCAGGAACAAGGUAGAUAAGGGGAAUGUCUCAAUGUUUAUCACCUUCUGGGCUACUCCUGAGAUGAAAUGGCUUGGCCUUGUGUGGAGACUCCAGCUUCCCUGAUGCGGAUAAGCCUGCAUUGGACUGCUGCACCUGUGUAUGACAUGCCGUUACUACAGGCAACCCAAGAAGAAUCAGACAGUAUACAUAUGAAUUUAGCAAAACCAGGGUGUGUGCUUUUCCCUUGUGCUUUCCUUCUGCCUGUGAUCAAGGAAAAAUCUGCACUCCGCACCCUCAGUGCCAAUCAGAGUCAUGAAAUAUUGUGCACUGAAGUGGUAACUAUCUUUAUAUUCUUAUAACAAAUCCUUGCUUUUAUUUUCUGUCUUUUUAUUAUUGCUUUCUUCAUUCCACUUCCCAUCUAGUUCCCAGGUCUAGAUAACCAAAACUUUUAUAAUAAGCUGUUUGGGCAAAUAUUUGACCUCUUUCUGGGUCUUAAUCACAUGUUAGAUAUACAUAUAUCACAAACCAUCUCACCACAGAUAAUUGGAGCGAGACAGCUCCAACCCAAGAGAAACUCCUUGCACUUGGCAUUCUGGAACCUCAUUUGCUUCAUGUGGGCCCAAUUUUGAAGCCUGUCCAGGUCCCUCUGGAUGCCAUUCUUUCCUUUUAUUGUAUCAACUGCACCACUCAGCUUGGUGUUGUCUGUGAACUUGCUGAGGGUGCAAUCAGUCCCAGAGUCUACAUAACUGAUAACAAUGUUAAAGAAUACUGGCCCCAAGAGAGACAACUGAGGAACAACACCUGUGACUUGCCUCCACCUGUACAUAGUGCAGGUUAUGCAGUAUGAAAUGCUCUAAUCUUAUUUGAAAGGGAAAUUGGGAAUCGUAAAGAGAAAUGCCUUUCUAUUUACCUGCUUAGGUUUCUUCUGAUAAAAAGUAACUUUACAUGUUAUCUCAUAUUUUACACAAGAAAAAUUGAUCUUGAAGAAAUUCAAAGAAAAUAAAAAAUAAAAGAUUAUUUUAGUUUUGCUAUUGAACCUCCUCAAUCUGAUAGUAAGAAGCAAAAACAAUGGUGAAGGCAAUUUAAUUAUCAUGACCUAAAUCAGAAACUACAUAUUUUGAAAGAGUUAAGUUACAAAAGCUGAUUUACAAGUUUUAGAUUCCAAAGAACAAUGCUUGCUUUCAAACAAUAUAUCUUAGUAUUUAUCUUUUAAAAACAAAAAUUAUUCUUCUAAAAACAAAAAUAAAUCAAAAAUAUAUAUAUUUGGGGAAAAAAAAAAAAAACUAUCCAAUUAGUUGAAUUGGAUAAUUCAUAAAUGCAAAUAACUCCCAUAUAUAUGCAAUUUUACGUUUCAUUAUUUUCAUUUACUCUUCUACACUGAUUUUAUUGUUUUCUUGAAGUAGCUAUAAAUGAUUUUCAAUUUGCAUUUUGCCUCAUUUAUCUAUAUACAUUUUUUCAGGCUACUGGCAUACUUUCUCUUGUAAAACUGUAUAUGAAAUAGAGCAACUUUGGGAGUAGAUGAAAGGAAACCUACUAACCUGGAUCUUCCUGAAUAAAGUGAAAGUUGUUGACAAUAAAAAAAAAAAAAAAAAAAAAAGAGGAAUGAUAAUUAAAAACGAAAAACAAAAAAACAUAGAUUUGAGUCAAUGCUGCAUUUCUCUUAGAAUUAUGAGGUGUUAUUUAACACUUAGCAAACGCGGAAAUCUGGCAAGAACCUGUGUUAAAUUAAGUGUCUUGCCUAAGAAACUCCUCAGAAGUACAUAUUCUACAUGUGACACAGAGUAGCAAUUUGAUUUUAGCAGCAGUACCUGUUCAUAUAUUUUAAAAUAAUUAAAGAUAUACUAUGAUGCCUUAGGUAGCAAGUCCUUAAGUUGUUUAGCAACCUGAUAACAUAAUUUACAUAUUCUUUAUCAAAAUUUUCCCUAUAUCUAUGUCACAAAAGUCCAAGAGCCCUGAAGAGCACUUAGUUUUCUGUUCUAGCCCUAAGAGGCCAAUACACAAUCCAGUGGAGGCAGUUAUUCUAAGGUUUGACAUCCUUAAUAUUUCUAUUCAUCAGAAAAGUUAUAUAAUUCCUAUUUUCAGAAUGAUAAAAUGGAAUACAG
RNAcentral lists this long non-coding RNA (2697 nucleotides) under Gallus gallus (chicken). Its description in RNAcentral is "lncRNA (ENSGALG00010001092.1)". Lineage: Eukaryota; Metazoa; Chordata; Aves; Galliformes; Phasianidae. The record is from RNAcentral.